This 109-nucleotide small nucleolar RNA is filed under the name Bison bison bison. The record is from RNAcentral. Lineage: Eukaryota; Metazoa; Chordata; Mammalia; Artiodactyla; Bovidae.
GUUGAUAUGUAUCCCUAUGGGGUUUUUCCUAUAGACUCGCAUGCUCACAUUGUUGGAAAUGCCUCAUGGAGUUAACUGUGUGGUUUUGCUCCAUUCACAGAACUACUUG